RNAcentral lists this ribosomal RNA (1256 nucleotides) under metagenome. Its description in RNAcentral is "bacterial SSU rRNA". It matches the Rfam family "Bacterial small subunit ribosomal RNA", at positions 243 to 1520 of the family's 1533-position model. The record is from RNAcentral.
AGCUAGUUGGUGAGGUGAUGGCUCACCAAGGCAAUGACACCUAACUGGUUUGAGAGGAUGAUCAGUCACACUGGGUACGAGACACGGUCCAGACUCCUACGGGAGGCAGCAGUGGGGAAUAUUGCACAAUGGACGAAAGUCUGAUGCAGCAACGCCGCGUGGAGGAUGACACAUUUCGGUGCGUAAACUCCUUUUAUAUAGGAAGAUAAUGACGGUACUAUAUGAAUAAGCACCGGCUAACUCCGUGCCAGCAGCCGCGGUAAUACGGAGGGUGCAAGCGUUACUCGGAAUUACUGGGCGUAAAGAGCGUGUAGGCGGGUAAAUAAGUUGGAAGUGAAAUCCUAUGGCUCAACCAUAGAACUGCUUCCAAAACUGUUAACCUAGAAUGUGGGAGAGGUAGAUGGAAUUUCUGGUGUAGGGGUAAAAUCCGUAGAUAUCAGAAGGAAUACCGAUUGCGAAGGCGAUCUACUGGAACAUAAUUGACGCUGAGACGCGAAAGCGUGGGGAGCAAACAGGAUUAGAUACCCUGGUAGUCCACGCCCUAAACGAUGUACACUAGUUGUUGUGAGGCUAGACCUUGCAGUAAUGCAGUUAACACAUUAAGUGUACCGCCUGGGGAGUACGGUCGCAAGAUUAAAACUCAAAGGAAUAGACGGGGACCCGCACAAGCGGUGGAGCAUGUGGUUUAAUUCGACUAUACGCGAAGAACCUUACCUGGUCUUGACAUAGAAAGAACUUUCCAGAGAUGGAUUGGUGCCUGCUUGCAGGAGCUUUCAUACAGGUGCUGCACGGCUGUCGUCAGCUCGUGUCGUGAGAUGUUGGGUUAAGUCCCGCAACGAGCGCAACCCUCGUCGUUAGUUGCUAACAGUUCGGCUGAGAACUCUAACGAGACUGCCUACGCAAGUAGGAGGAAGGUGAGGACGACGUCAAGUCAUCAUGGCCCUUACGACCAGGGCUACACACGUGCUACAAUGGGGUAUACAAAGAGCAGCGAUACGGUGACGUGGAGCGAAUCUCAAAAAUGCCUCCCAGUUCGGAUAGUAGUCUGCAACUCGACUACUUGAAGUUGGAAUCGCUAGUAAUCGUAGAUCAGCUAUGCUACGGUGAAUACGUUCCCGGGUCUUGUACUCACCGCCCGUCACACCAUGGGAGUUGAAUUCAUUCGAAGCGGGGAUGCUAAAAUAGCUACCUUCCACAGUGGAUUUAGCGACUGGGGUGAAGUCGAAACAAGGUAACCGUAGGAGAACCUGCGGUUG